RNAcentral lists this ribosomal RNA (774 nucleotides) under bacterium MB-7. Its description in RNAcentral is "bacterial SSU rRNA". It matches the Rfam family "Bacterial small subunit ribosomal RNA", at positions 62 to 885 of the family's 1533-position model. The record is from RNAcentral.
UCGAGCGCACCUUCGGGUGAGCGGCGGACGGGUUAGUAACGCGUGGGAACAUACCCUUUUCUACGGAAUAGCCUCGGGAAACUGAGAGUAAUACCGUAUAAGCCCUUCGGGGGAAAGAUUUAUCGGGAAAGGAUUGGCCCGCGUUAGAUUAGAUAGUUGGUGGGGUAAUGGCCUACCAAGUCUACGAUCUAUAGCUGGUUUUAGAGGAUGAUCAGCAACACUGGGACUGAGACACGGCCCAGACUCCUACGGGAGGCAGCAGUGGGGAAUCUUAGACAAUGGGCGCAAGCCUGAUCUAGCCAUGCCGCGUGUGUGAUGAAGGUCUUAGGAUCGUAAAGCACUUUCGCCAGGGAUGAUAAUGACAGUACCUGGUAAAGAAACCCCGGCUAACUCCGUGCCAGCAGCCGCGGUAAUACGGAGGGGGUUAGCGUUGUUCGGAAUUACUGGGCGUAAAGCGUACGUAGGCGGAUUGGAAAGUUGGGGGUGAAAUCCCAGGGCUCAACCCUGGAACUGCCUCCAAAACUAUCAGUCUAGAGUUCGAGAGAGGUGAGUGGAAUUCCAAGUGUAGAGGUGAAAUUCGUAGAUAUUUGGAGGAACACCAGUGGCGAAGGCGGCUCACUGGCUCGAUACUGACGCUGAGGUACGAAAGUGUGGGGAGCAAACAGGAUUAGAUACCCUGGUAGUCCACACCGUAAACGAUGAAUGCCAGUCGUCGGGCAGUAUACUGUUCGGUGACACACCUAACGGAUUAAGCAUUCCGCCUGGGGAGUACGG